Molecule: ribosomal RNA, 693 nt
Filed under: Escherichia coli
Lineage: Bacteria; Pseudomonadati; Pseudomonadota; Gammaproteobacteria; Enterobacterales; Enterobacteriaceae
Description: partial 23S ribosomal RNA
Rfam family: Bacterial large subunit ribosomal RNA
Source: RNAcentral
CUGAUGCGUUGUUGGGUAGGGGAGCGUUCUGUAAGCCUGCGAAGGUGUGCUGUGAGGCAUGCUGGAGGUAUCAGAAGUGCGAAUGCUGACAUAAGUAACGAUAAAGCGGGUGAAAAGCCCGCUCGCCGGAAGACCAAGGGUUCCUGUCCAACGUUAAUCGGGGCAGGGUGAGUCGACCCCUAAGGCGAGGCCGAAAGGCGUAGUCGAUGGGAAACAGGUUAAUAUUCCUGUACUUGGUGUUACUGCGAAGGGGGGACGGAGAAGGCUAUGUUGGCCGGGCGACGGUUGUCCCGGUUUAAGCGUGUAGGCUGGUUUUCCAGGCAAAUCCGGAAAAUCAAGGCUGAGGCGUGAUGACGAGGCACUACGGUGCUGAAGCAACAAAUGCCCUGCUUCCAGGAAAAGCCUCUAAGCAUCAGGUAACAUCAAAUCGUACCCCAAACCGACACAGGUGGUCAGGUAGAGAAUACCAAGGCGCUUGAGAGAACUCGGGUGAAGGAACUAGGCAAAAUGGUGCCGUAACUUCGGGAGAAGGCACGCUGAUAUGUAGGUGAGGUCCCUCGCGGAUGGAGCUGAAAUCAGUCGAAGAUACCAGCUGGCUGCAACUGUUUAUUAAAAACACAGCACUGUGCAAACACGAAAGUGGACGUAUACGGUGUGACGCCUGCCCGGUGCCGGAAGGUUAAUUGAUGGGGU